AUUGAACGCUGGCGGCAGGCCUAACACAUGCAAGUCGAGCGGUAACAGAAAGUAGCUUGCUACUUUGCUGACGAGCGGCGGACGGGUGAGUAAUGCUUGGGAACAUGCCUUGAGGUGGGGGACAACAGUUGGAAACGACUGCUAAUACCGCAUAAUGUCUACGGACCAAAGGGGGCUUCGGCUCUCGCCUUUAGAUUGGCCCAAGUGGGAUUAGCUAGUUGGUGAGGUAAUGGCUCACCAAGGCAACGAUCCCUAGCUGGUUUGAGAGGAUGAUCAGCCACACUGGAACUGAGACACGGUCCAGACUCCUACGGGAGGCAGCAGUGGGGAAUAUUGCACAAUGGGCGCAAGCCUGAUGCAGCCAUGCCGCGUGUGUGAAGAAGGCCUUCGGGUUGUAAAGCACUUUCAGUCAGGAGGAAAG
Molecule: ribosomal RNA, 421 nt
Filed under: gamma proteobacterium B-7
Lineage: Bacteria; Pseudomonadati; Pseudomonadota; Gammaproteobacteria
Description: bacterial SSU rRNA
Rfam family: Bacterial small subunit ribosomal RNA
Source: RNAcentral